Molecule: long non-coding RNA, 214 nt
Filed under: Ananas comosus (pineapple)
Lineage: Eukaryota; Viridiplantae; Streptophyta; Magnoliopsida; Poales; Bromeliaceae
Description: long non-coding RNA (ACOM_LNC000414)
Source: RNAcentral
CCACCGUCAACCCCGACGGCCCCCAACAGUCCGGAAUAGUCUGAAUGCUACUGUAAAAAUACACUCGGCAUCACAGCACGAGCGUAACUGAAAUCUAAACUAUCUGGGGUAUCCACCACGCCGAUACUACGGCGAUACAAAUAACAACGGCUCCUAGAGCUAAAUCAGGUAGUUUAAACAUAUGACAGAUCAUAAUCGCAGUUUUCUCCUAAAU